RNAcentral lists this transfer RNA (63 nucleotides) under Dociostaurus tartarus. Its description in RNAcentral is "tRNA-Pro". Lineage: Eukaryota; Metazoa; Arthropoda; Insecta; Orthoptera; Acrididae. The record is from RNAcentral.
CAGGGGUUAGUUUAUUAAAAUAUCGGUUUUGGGGAUCGAGGAUAGAAAGUUUUCUACCCCUGA